Molecule: ribosomal RNA, 253 nt
Filed under: uncultured bacterium
Lineage: Bacteria
Description: partial 16S ribosomal RNA
Rfam family: Bacterial small subunit ribosomal RNA
Source: RNAcentral
UACGGUGGGUGCAAGCGUUAUCCGGAUUCACUGGGUUUAAAGGGUGCGUAGGCGGGCAGGUAAGUCCGUGGUGAAAUCUCUGAGCUUAACUCAGAAACUGCCAUGGAUACUAUUUGUCUUGAAUGUUGUGGAGGUAAGCGGAAUAUGUCAUGUAGCGGUGAAAUGCUUAGAUAUGACAUAGAACACCCAUUGCGAAGGCAGCUUACUACACAAAUAUUGACGCUGAGGCACGAAAGCGUGGGGAUCAAACAGG